Molecule: non-coding RNA, 97 nt
Organism: Dissoconium aciculare CBS 342.82
Lineage: Eukaryota; Fungi; Ascomycota; Dothideomycetes; Mycosphaerellales; Dissoconiaceae
Source: the annotation of a RefSeq genome assembly
GGUUCCAUGGCUCAGUUGGUUAGCGCGUGGUGCUAAUAGAUCUCGCCGCGAGAUUCAGUUAACGCCAAGGUCGAGGGUUCGACCCCCUCUGGGACCA